GGACUACAAGUGCACACCACCACACCCAGCUAAUUUUUUUAUUUUUAGUAGAGACAGGGUUUUACCAUGUUGGCCAGGAUGGUCUCCAUCUCUGGACCUCAUGACCCACCUGCCUGGCCUCCCAAAGUGCUGGGAUUACAGGCAUGAGCCACUGUACCUGUCCUCUAAUUGUACAAUAUCUUACUGUUUACUCCUUCUUCUCUCUCUCUCUCUUUUUUUUUGAGACAGGGUCAAGAGAUCAAGACCAUCCUGGUCAACAAGGUGAAACCCCAUCUCUACUAAAAAUACAAAAAUUAGCUGGGCAUGGUGGCACACGCCUGUAGUCCCAGCUACUCAGGAGGCUGAGGCAGGAGAAUUGCUCAAACCCAGGAGGCGGAGGUUGUGGUGAGCCGAGAUCAUGCCAUUGCACACCAGUCUGGGUAACAACAGCGAAACUCCGUCUCAAAAAUAAAUAAAUAAAUAAAAAGGGAAAGAUUGGCUGAGCAUGGUGGCUCGCGCCUGUAGUCUCAACAUUUUGGGAGGCUAGGGUAGGAGAAUCACUUGAGUCCUGGAGUUUGAGACCAGCCUGGGCAACAUAGUGAGACCCCAUCUGUACUGUUUUUAUAAAUAACAAAACAAUGAAAAAAGAAACUCAAGAGUAGAGACAAGAAAUAUUAAAAAAUAAUAAUACCUGUCACUGUGAAAAAGACUUGUCACCAAGUAUCUCAUUGAAAAUUCACAACUUCCCUAGGAGGUGGGUUCUAUCACCCCAGGAAUGUGAGACUCAAACAGAUUGCCAAUGUCAGGCAGCUGGCAGAUGGCAGAGCUGAAAUUCAAAUCCAGGCAAUCCAACCCUAAAAUGCCUGUUCUAAUUGUAAUGCUGAACUACCCCUGUCCUAACAGGGAAGGUAAAUAGGCAGAAAAUAUACAGCUUUUCAAAGGAUCAUGAUUACAAGGACAGAAGAACAGUCUAGAACUCACAUUACUUUAACCAUUAACCUCACAGCUACCAUUUUUGAGUGCUU
This 1004-nucleotide long non-coding RNA is filed under the name Callithrix jacchus (white-tufted-ear marmoset). RNAcentral describes it as "lncRNA (ENSCJAG00000078753.1)". The record is from RNAcentral. Lineage: Eukaryota; Metazoa; Chordata; Mammalia; Primates; Cebidae.